Molecule: long non-coding RNA, 105 nt
Organism: Amblyraja radiata (thorny skate)
Lineage: Eukaryota; Metazoa; Chordata; Chondrichthyes; Rajiformes; Rajidae
Exons: 3
Source: RefSeq, a predicted model, not a curated record
AUUGAGAAUGACAAGGUGGCACAGUUGGCAGAGCCGCUGCCUCUCAGUGGCAGAGACCCGAGUUCGAUCAUGACCCUGGGUGCUGUCAGUAUGGAGUUUGCACAC